GCGUCUCAUGGUGAAUGGGACAUUCUGCACUUCAAAUAGAAGAUCUUGUAUCGCUUUCAUUGUUAUUACAAGCAAAUCUGCCUCCUUCACUUCAAGGUCAAUUUGGCAAUCCAAAUCUCAGCAUACCAUUGUUGAUUUGCCCAAUGUCUUCUUUAUGAUUUUUUGGGUGGUUUCUGAUUAUCUGCUCUUGCAAACAAUGCUUCAACAGAGAUCUCAGUAGAGGUUGCUGAGAGUUGCAUGAAGACUGAUACCUUGUUGCAGGUUUCAACCAGACAUACCAACGGUGACAGGGAAGAUGCCUCCACCUGCAUCUUCCACCUGCUCAUGGCUCU
Molecule: long non-coding RNA, 332 nt
Filed under: Homo sapiens (human)
Lineage: Eukaryota; Metazoa; Chordata; Mammalia; Primates; Hominidae
Description: HSALNT0144259
Source: RNAcentral